Molecule: ribosomal RNA, 592 nt
Filed under: Macrophthalmus banzai
Lineage: Eukaryota; Metazoa; Arthropoda; Malacostraca; Decapoda; Macrophthalmidae
Description: partial 16S ribosomal RNA
Source: RNAcentral
GGAGAGAAUAAGAAAAAUAAUUUUCGUAAUUUUAGUAAUUUUUAAUGAAAAUAAAGUAAAGACUAAAGAGAAAAGUACUGUGAAGGAAAGUUGUUAAAACUUUUUAUAGAAGAAGUAAAAUUUUGUGCCUCGUGUAUCAGAAAAAGUUUAUAUAGUUUAAUUACAAUAAGUAUCUCGAAAUAAAAUACAGUAAUUUUUAUAAAAUUUUCUUUUUAGAAAAAAAGAAUUUAAUAUAAAAUUUAAAGUGAAAUGCUAGCUGAGUUUUAUGAUAUCUAGUUUUUUUAAAAAUAAAUUUAAUUUAAUUUUUAUAAAGAAAAAGUUAUAAAAUUAAAUGGUAGGGGGGAUUAGCUCUUUACGGAAAAGAUAAUGAAAUAGUUAAAUAAAAGUAAAUUAUAUAAAUUAGGCUUAGAAGUAGCUAUAUUGAAAAAGUGUUUUAACUAAAUUAUAAUUGCUUGAAUAUUUAAAAUAAAACUUUUCUUAGGUAUAAAAAAAUGGCUUAAACAAAACAAAACAAGAUAUGAUGAUUUUAUUAGUAAAAUUUAUUGAGUAAAUAAAGAUAUUAAAAAGUAAAAAUUGUUUAAAAAAAUAAGUA